RNAcentral lists this ribosomal RNA (233 nucleotides) under uncultured bacterium. RNAcentral's name for it is "partial 16S ribosomal RNA". It matches the Rfam family "Bacterial small subunit ribosomal RNA", at positions 99 to 334 of the family's 1533-position model. The record is from RNAcentral.
CGGACGGGUGAGUAACGCGUAGGAAUCUACCUGGUAGUGGGGGGGCAACAUGGUGAAAACCAUGCUAAUACCGCAUACGCCCUAAGGGGGAAAGCGGGGGAUCUUCAGACCUCGCGCUAUUGGAUGAGCCUGCGUAAGAUUAGCUAGUUGGUGGGGUAAAAGCUCACCAAGGCGACGAUCUUUAGCUGGUCUGAGAGGAUGAUCAGCCACACUGGAACUGAGACACGGUCCAG